UACGGAGGGUGCGAGCGUUGUUCGGAAUUACUGGGCGUAAAGGGCGUGUAGGCGGUCCGCUAAGUCUGAUGUGAAAGCCCGGGGCUCACCCCCGGAAGGGCAUUGGAAACUGGCGGACUCGAGUCCCGGAGAGGAAGGUGGAAUUCCUGGUGUAGCGGUGAAAUGCGUAGAUAUCAGGAGGAAUACCGGUGGCGAAGGCGGCCUUCUGGACGGUGACUGACGCUGAGACGCGAAAGCGUGGGGAGCAAACAGG
Molecule: ribosomal RNA, 253 nt
Filed under: uncultured bacterium
Lineage: Bacteria
Description: partial 16S ribosomal RNA
Rfam family: Bacterial small subunit ribosomal RNA
Source: RNAcentral